AUUGAACGCUGGCGGCAGGCCUAACACAUGCAAGUCGAACGGUAACAGGAAGCAGCUUGCUGCUUCGCUGACGAGUGGCGGACGGGUGAGUAAUGUCUGGGAAACUGCCUGAUGGAGGGGGAUAACUACUGGAAACGGUAGCUAAUACCGCAUAACGUCGCAAGACCAAAGAGGGGGACCUUCGGGCCUCUUGCCAUCGGAUGUGCCCAGAUGGGAUUAGCUAGUAGGUGGGGUAACGGCUCACCUAGGCGACGAUCCCUGGCUGGUCUGAGAGGAUGACCAGCCACACUGGAACUGAGACACGGUCCAGACUCCUACGGGAGGCAGCAGUGGGGAAUAUUGCACAAUGGGCGCAAGCCUGAUGCAGCCAUGCCGCGUGUAUGAAGAAGGCCUUCGGGUUGUAAAGUACUUUCAGCGGGGAGGAAGGGAGUAAAGUUAAUACCUUUGCUCAUUGACGUUACCCGCAGAAGAAGCACCGGCUAACUCCGUGCCAGCAGCCGCGGUAAUACGGAGGGUGCAAGCGUUAAUCGGAAUUACUGGGCGUAAAGCGCACGCAGGCGGUUUGUUAAGUCAGAUGUGAAAUCCCCGGGCUCAACCUGGGAACUGCAUCUGAUACUGGCAAGCUUGAGUCUCGUAGAGGGGGGUAGAAUUCCUAGGUGUAGCGGUGAAAUGCGUAGAGAUCUGGAGGAACACCAGU
Molecule: ribosomal RNA, 697 nt
Filed under: uncultured Pseudomonadota bacterium
Lineage: Bacteria; Pseudomonadati; Pseudomonadota
Description: bacterial SSU rRNA
Rfam family: Bacterial small subunit ribosomal RNA
Source: RNAcentral